RNAcentral lists this ribosomal RNA (253 nucleotides) under uncultured bacterium. RNAcentral describes it as "partial 16S ribosomal RNA". It matches the Rfam family "Bacterial small subunit ribosomal RNA", at positions 524 to 776 of the family's 1533-position model. The record is from RNAcentral.
UACGUAGGGGGCAAGCGUUGUCCGGAAUCAUUGGGCGUAAAGAGCGUGUAGGCGGCCAGAUAAGUCCGCUGUGAAAUCUCGAGGCUCAACUUCGAGCUGUCGGUGGAAACUGUCUGGCUAGAGUCCGGAAGAGGCGAGUGGAAUUCCUGGUGUAGCGGUGAAAUGCGCAGAUAUCAGGAGGAACACCAAUGGCGAAGGCAGCUCGCUGGGACGUGACUGACGCUGAGACGCGAAAGCGUGGGGAGCAAACAGG